This 61-nucleotide transfer RNA is filed under the name Marmota marmota marmota (Alpine marmot). It matches the Rfam family "tRNA", at positions 6 to 65 of the family's 71-position model. Rfam says of the family: Transfer RNA (tRNA) molecules are approximately 80 nucleotides in length. Their secondary structure includes four short double-helical elements and three loops (D, anti-codon, and T loops). RNAcentral also lists the same sequence under 2 other names. Lineage: Eukaryota; Metazoa; Chordata; Mammalia; Rodentia; Sciuridae. The record is from Rfam by way of RNAcentral.
UGUAGCUCAAUGGUAGAGUUUUUGCCUAGCAUGUAUGAGGCCCUGGGUUCAAACCCCAGUA